Molecule: ribosomal RNA, 494 nt
Filed under: uncultured bacterium
Lineage: Bacteria
Description: partial 16S ribosomal RNA
Rfam family: Bacterial small subunit ribosomal RNA
Source: RNAcentral
AUUGAACGCUGGCGGAAUGCUUUACACAUGCAAGUCGAACGGUAGAGGGGCAACCCUUGAGAGUGGCGAACGGGUGAGUAAUGUAUCGGAACAUGCCCAGUCGUGGGGGAUAACGUAGCGAAAGUUACGCUAAUACCGCAUACGAUCUAUGGAUGAGAGCGGGGGAUCGCAAGACCUCGCGCGAUUGGAGUGGCGGAUAUCAGAUUAGGUAGUUGGUGGGGUAAAGGCCUACCAAGCCGACGAUCUGUAGCUGGUCUGAGAGGACGACCAGCCACACUGGGACUGAGACACGGCCCAGACUCCUACGGGAGGCAGCAGUGGGGAAUUUUGGACAAUGGGCGCAAGCCUGAUUCAGCCAUUCCGCGUGCAGGAAGAAGGCCUUCGGGUUGUAAACUGCUUUUGUACGGAACGAAACGCGCUGAGCUAAUACCUCGGCGUAAUGACGGUACCGUAAGAAUAAGCACCGGCUAACUACGUGCCAGCCGCCGCCGUAA